GUGCAAGCUACUAGACCACAGCAUCAAUCGAAAAGUUCUAUUGUUAUAAAGGAAAAUUUAAGUAUAAUAAGAGUGCUAAGUUAGUAUAUAAAUAGUGCUGAACGAUAGUUACAUAAGUUGAUUAAUGAUAAGAGUUGAUGCAAGGCCAAGGAAAAAUAAAUACUAAUUUCUGAGACUAAGGGGUGAAUUGGCGGUUUCCGACGAAUUAUAAGGUCGGGACCGCCCAGCUUUAAAAUUAACAAAACCUUGAUAGUGAGGUGAAGCGGUGCCCAGAACGGUUCUUA
Molecule: long non-coding RNA, 284 nt
Organism: Episyrphus balteatus (marmalade hoverfly)
Lineage: Eukaryota; Metazoa; Arthropoda; Insecta; Diptera; Syrphidae
Exons: 3
Source: RefSeq, a predicted model, not a curated record